RNAcentral lists this ribosomal RNA (504 nucleotides) under uncultured archaeon. Its description in RNAcentral is "bacterial SSU rRNA". It matches the Rfam family "Archaeal small subunit ribosomal RNA", at positions 21 to 529 of the family's 1478-position model. The record is from RNAcentral.
AGGUUACUGCUAUCGGGGUCCGACUAAGCCAUGCGAGUCGAGAGGGUAAAGCCCUCGGCGUAAUGCUCAGUAACACGCGGAUAACCUGCCCUUGGGUCCGGGAUAACCCCGGGAAACUGGGACUAAUACCGGAUAGAUCAAAGAUACUGGAAUGUUCUCUGGUCCAAAACUCCGGUGCCCAAGGAUGGGUCUGCGGCCUAUCAGGUUGUAGUGGGUGUAACGUACCUACUAGCCUACGACGGGUAAGGGUUGUGAGAGCAAGAUCCCUGAGAUGGAUUCUGAGACAUGAAUCCAGGCCCUACGGGGUGCAGCAGGCGCGAAACCUUUACACUGCGGGAAACCGCGAUAAGGGGACCCCGAGUGCCAGCACCUAGUGCUGGCUGUCCCGCUGUCUAAAUAACAGUGGUUAGCAAGGGCCGGGCAAGACCGGUGCCAGCCGCCGCGGUAACACCGGCGGCCCGAGUGGUAGCCGCUAUUAUUGGGUUUAAAGGGCCCGUAGCCGGC